Molecule: ribosomal RNA, 492 nt
Filed under: Graphis koratensis
Lineage: Eukaryota; Fungi; Ascomycota; Lecanoromycetes; Ostropales; Graphidaceae
Description: eukaryotic LSU rRNA
Rfam family: Eukaryotic large subunit ribosomal RNA
Source: RNAcentral
AGGUGCUUCGGAAGAGAUGAUGGUCCAAGUCCCUUGGAACAGGGCGUCACAGAGGGUGAGAAUCCCGUAUGUGACCAAUCAUCGAUUCCAUGUGAAGCCCUUUCGACGAGUCGAGUUGUUUGGGAAUGCAGCUCUAAAUGGGUGGUAAAUUUCAUCUAAAGCUAAAUACCUGCCAGAGACCGAUAGCGCACAAGUAGAGUGAUCGAAAGAUGAAAAGCACUUUGAAAAGAGAGUCAAACAGUACGUGAAAUUGUUGAAAGGGAAGCGCUUGCAAUCAGACUCGUUUGCAGAUGCUCAGCCUUCCUUCGGGACGGUGUAUUCAUCUGUAGACGGGCCAGCAUCAGUUUCGACGGCUGGAUAAAGGUUCUGGGAACGUAGCUCUCUUCGGAGAGUGUUAUAGCCCGGAGCGUAAUGCGGCCAGUCGAGACUGAGGUCCGCGCUUUUGCUAGGAUGCUGGCGUAAUGGUUGCUAGCGACCCGUCUUGAAACACGG